This 434-nucleotide ribosomal RNA is filed under the name uncultured bacterium. RNAcentral's name for it is "partial 16S ribosomal RNA". It matches the Rfam family "Bacterial small subunit ribosomal RNA", at positions 29 to 507 of the family's 1533-position model. The record is from RNAcentral.
AGCGAACGCUGGCGGCAGGCCUAACACAUGCAAGUCGAACGAACCUUUCGGGGUUAGUGGCGGACGGGUGAGUAACACGUGGGAACGUGCCUUUAGGUUCGGAAUAACUCAGGGAAACUUGUGCUAAUACCGAAUGUGCCCUUCGGGGGAAAGAUUUAUCGCCUUUAGAGCGGCCCGCGUCUGAUUAGCCAGUUGGGUGAGGUAAUGGCUCACCAAGGCGACGAUCAGUAGCUGGUCUGAGAGGAUGAUCAGCCACAUUGGGACUGAGACACGGCCCAAACUCCUGCGGGAGGCAGCAGUGGGGAAUCUUGCGCAAUGGGCGAAAGCCUGACGCAGCCAUGCCGCGUGAAUGAUGAAGGUCUUAGGAUUGUAAAAUUCUUUCACCGGGGACGAUAAUGACGGUACCCGGAGAAGAAGCCCCGGCUAACUUCGUG